This 253-nucleotide ribosomal RNA is filed under the name uncultured bacterium. Its description in RNAcentral is "partial 16S ribosomal RNA". It matches the Rfam family "Bacterial small subunit ribosomal RNA", at positions 524 to 776 of the family's 1533-position model. The record is from RNAcentral.
UACGAAGGGGGCUAGCGUUGCUCGGAAUCACUGGGCGUAAAGCGCACGUAGGCGGAUCUUUAAGUCAGGGGCGAAAUCCUGGAGCUCAACUCCAGAACUGCCUUUGAUACUGGGGAUCUCGAGUCCGGGAGAGGUGAGUGGAACUGCGAGUGUAGAGGUGAAAUUCGUAGAUAUUCGCAAGAACACCAGUGGCGAAGGCGGCUCACUGGCCCGGUACUGACGCUGAGGUGCGAAAGCGUGGGGAGCAAACAGG